UAAUUGAGCUCAGUGGUAGAGCGUCCGACCAGUGUGCGGAAGGUCAUAGGUUCGACUCCUGUUGGGAGAA
Molecule: transfer RNA, 70 nt
Filed under: Desmophyllum pertusum
Lineage: Eukaryota; Metazoa; Cnidaria; Anthozoa; Scleractinia; Caryophylliidae
Description: tRNA-Thr
Rfam family: tRNA (bases 7-62)
About the family: Transfer RNA (tRNA) molecules are approximately 80 nucleotides in length. Their secondary structure includes four short double-helical elements and three loops (D, anti-codon, and T loops).
Source: RNAcentral